AUCUACAGCCAUGCCACCCUGAACGUUGCCCGAUCUCGUCUGAUAUCAGAAGCUAAGCAGGGUCGGGCCUGGUUAGUACUUGGAUGGGAGACCACCUAGGAAUACCGGGUGCUGUAGGCG
Molecule: ribosomal RNA, 120 nt
Filed under: Pteropus alecto (black flying fox)
Lineage: Eukaryota; Metazoa; Chordata; Mammalia; Chiroptera; Pteropodidae
Source: RNAcentral